Molecule: long non-coding RNA, 899 nt
Organism: Lactuca sativa (garden lettuce)
Lineage: Eukaryota; Viridiplantae; Streptophyta; Magnoliopsida; Asterales; Asteraceae
Source: RefSeq, a predicted model, not a curated record
UUCGUUUAUCGGGCAAAGAACGUCAAAUGGAAGCAGUCAAUGAAUGCGAUUUUGAAAGGAACAUGAGGGCAGACGAACGAAUAUAACGAGGGGAAGCUACUCCGGUCGUUUGGUCGAUCGAUUCCGAGAAGGAGAGAUCGUCUCCGGGGAUCGACGGGGCCGAAGAGAGGGAAAGGGGAAGGCAGCGAGGCUGCUGUGGUCUCGGUCGGCUUCUAGGUGCGUAGGAGAAGGAGCGAUCGGCGACGAGGGAGUUUGUCUUCGGGGUUUGACGAACAGGUGGGGGUUUCGGUGGCAUUGGCUCGACGAAAGAAAGGGGGAGGGUGCGAGGGGUGGGUCGUCGGUCUCAGUGGGUGCUGCGCUGAGGCGAUCAGUGGUUGAAAAGGGAGGCGCCUUCGGUGCUUGGCUGGACCGAAGAGGAAAAAGAAUGCAAGCAUCGGGGGUGGGCGGUUGCUCCGAUUGUAGCAGGGCAGAAUAAUCGAUCAAAAGGAGUGUUUGGGUUUCUUUGUUUGUCAUGUAAGGGAACACGAGAAAAUGGGACUGUGAUCGUGGCUAGAAUAGAGAGGGGAAACAACCUCCUUCUUUGGUCUUUACCUGAUAUCGAGAGAAAGAAUGCAAGUGAGAGUGAGAUGGGGAUGAUUGAAGGCAGUGAAAGCUACGAACACGUGAAGGGAGUUCUUUUAUUUCACAUUUAACUUGUGAUUGUAUAUAUAAAAUCUGAUCCCUUAGAUUUGAUUUGAUUUAAGAGUGAUUUUUUGGUGUACAAAUUUUAAUUUAGGAUUUGAUUUAAUUUUUUUUGUAUGUGAUCUGAUCUUAGAUUUUAACAUGAUUUUGAUUGAAGUUUGUUGCUUGUAAUUCUCUCUUAAGCAAGGUGUAUACACGUGGAAAAAUUUGUAUAAUAA